CGGAUUUGGCGGCAAGAUAGCUUUUUAGAGGAACCUGCCCUGUGAACGAUGAUCCACGAGAGCCUUACUUUAUUUUGAAAUCAGUUUGUAUACCGCUGUUGUCAGUUAGAUUUUUGAGAAUAUUUUCUUUUUGGUAAAGCCAAUGACUUCAAGUAAAGGUGCAGCUUAUAGUAAAGUUAGAGGUGGGUUACAUUUAUAAGAAUAAGACGGAUUAAGAAUUUAAUUGACUUAUGAAGGUGGAUUUAACUGUAAA
This 253-nucleotide ribosomal RNA is filed under the name Chelonibia testudinaria. RNAcentral's name for it is "partial 12S ribosomal RNA". Lineage: Eukaryota; Metazoa; Arthropoda; Thecostraca; Balanomorpha; Chelonibiidae. The record is from RNAcentral.